Molecule: ribosomal RNA, 253 nt
Filed under: uncultured bacterium
Lineage: Bacteria
Description: partial 16S ribosomal RNA
Rfam family: Bacterial small subunit ribosomal RNA
Source: RNAcentral
UACAGAGGGUGCAAGCGUUGUUCGGAAUUAUUGGGCGUAAAGGGAGCGUAGGCGGGUGUUUAAGUUAGGUGUUUAAUCCUGGGGCCCAACCCCAGUCGUGCACCUAAAACUGGACAUCUUGAAUAGUGGAGAGGUCAGUGGAAUUGGGGGUGUAGCGGUGGGAUGCGUAGAGAUCCCCAAGAACACCAGUUGCGAAGGCGGCUGACUGGACACAUAUUGACGCUGAGGCUCGAAAGCAUGGGGAGCAAACAGG